AAAGAAUGCGGCGGCUUACACAUGCAAGUCGAGGGGUAUGCUUCUUCGGAAGUAGAGACCGGCGCACGGGUGCGUAACGCGUAUGCAUUCUACCUUUUACAGAGGGAUAGCCCAGAGAAAUUUGGAUUAAUACCUCAUAGCAUUGCAAGAUGGCAUCAGGAUUAUAUUAAAGUCACAACGGUAAAAGAUGAGCAUGCCUUCCAUUACCUAUUUGCUAAGGUAACGGCUUACCAAGGCUACGAUGGGUAGGGGUCCUGAGAGGGAGAUCCCCCACACUGGUACUGAGACACGGACCAGACUCCUACGGGAGGCAGCAGUGAGGAAUAUUGGACAAUGGGCGCAAGCCUGAUCCAGCCAUGCCGCGUGCAGGAUGACGGUCCUAUGGAUUGUAAACUGCUUUUAUACGAGAAGAAACACUCCGACGUGUCGGAGCUUGACGGUAUCGUAAGAAUAAGGAUCGGCUAACUCCGUGCCAGCAGCCGCGGUAAUACGGAGGAUCCAAGCGUUAUCCGGAAUCAUUGGGUUUAAAGGGUCCGUAGGCGGUUUAAUAAGUCAGUGGUGAAAGCCCAUCGCUCAACGGUGGAACGGCCAUUGAUACUGUUAGACUUGAAUUAUUAGGAAGUAACUAGAAUAUGUAGUGUAGCGGUGAAAUGCUUAGAGAUUACAUGGAAUACCAAUUGCGAAGGCAGGUUACUACUAAUGGAUUGACGCUGAUGGACGAAAGCGUGGGUAGCGAACAGGAUUAGAUACCCUGGUAGUCCACGCCGUAAACGAUGGAUACUAGCUGUUGGAAGCAAUUUCAGUGGCUAAGCGAAAGUGAUAAGUAUCCCACCUGGGGAGUACGUUCGCAAGAAUGAAACUCAAAGGAAUUGACGGGGGGCCCGCACAAGCGGUGGAGCAUGUGGUUUAAUUCGAUGAUACGCGAGGAACCUUACCAAGGCUUAAAUGUAGUUUGACCGGUUUGGAAACAGAUCUUUCGCAAGGACAAAUUACAAGUGCUGCAUGGGUUGUCGUCAGCUCGUGCCGUGAGUGUCAGGUGAGUACGUAUACGAGCGCAACCCCUGUGUAGUGCAGCGAGUCAUGUCGGGACUCUACAAGACUGCAGUGCAACUGUGAGGAAGGUGGGAUGACGUCCAAUCAUCACGUCCCUUACGCUUGGGCUACCACGUGCUAACAUUGGCCGGUACAGAAGACGCCAUGGCACAGGACCGAAGUCUUAUAACACGGAUCCAAGAUUCGAAUCCGA
This 1246-nucleotide ribosomal RNA is filed under the name Flavobacterium sp. Its description in RNAcentral is "bacterial SSU rRNA". It matches the Rfam family "Bacterial small subunit ribosomal RNA", at positions 32 to 1303 of the family's 1533-position model. The record is from RNAcentral. Lineage: Bacteria; Pseudomonadati; Bacteroidota; Flavobacteriia; Flavobacteriales; Flavobacteriaceae.